CUGACCUCAAAUCAGGUAGGACUACCCGCUGAACUUAAGCAUAUCAAUAAGCGGAGGAAAAGAAACUAACAAGGAUUCCCCUAGUAACUGCGAGUGAAGCGGGAAAAGCUCAAAUUUAAAAUCUGGCGGUCUUUGGCCGUCCGAGUUGUAGUCUGGAGAAGUGCUUUCCGCGCUGGACCGUGU
Molecule: ribosomal RNA, 183 nt
Filed under: Ganoderma resinaceum
Lineage: Eukaryota; Fungi; Basidiomycota; Agaricomycetes; Polyporales; Polyporaceae
Description: partial 28S ribosomal RNA
Rfam family: Eukaryotic large subunit ribosomal RNA
Source: RNAcentral